RNAcentral lists this ribosomal RNA (497 nucleotides) under uncultured bacterium. Its description in RNAcentral is "partial 16S ribosomal RNA". It matches the Rfam family "Bacterial small subunit ribosomal RNA", at positions 28 to 507 of the family's 1533-position model. The record is from RNAcentral.
GAUGAACGCUGGCGGCGUGCCUAAUACAUGCAAGUCGAGCGAACGGACGAGAAGCUUGCUUCUCUGAUGUUAGCGGCGGACGGGUGAGUAACACGUAGAUAACCUACCUAUAAGACUGGGAUAACUUCGGGAAACCGGAGCUAAUACCGGAUGAUAUUUUGAACCGCAUGGUUCAAAAGUGAAAGACGGUCUUGCUGUCACUUAUAGAUGGAUCCGCGCUGCAUUAGCUAGUUGGUAAGGUAACGGCUUACCAAGGCAACGAUGCAUAGCCGACCUGAGAGGGUGAUCGGCCACACUGGAACGGAGACACGGUCCAGACUCCUACGGGAGGCAGCAGUAGGGAAUCUUCCGCAAUGGGCGAAAGCCUGACGGAGCAACGCCGCGUGAGUGAUGAAGGUCUUCGGAUCGUAAAACUCUGUUAUUAGGGAAGAACAUAUGUGUAAGUAACUGUGCACAUCUUGACGGUACCUAAUCAGAAAGCCACGGCUAACUACGUG